RNAcentral lists this ribosomal RNA (495 nucleotides) under uncultured bacterium. RNAcentral describes it as "bacterial SSU rRNA". It matches the Rfam family "Bacterial small subunit ribosomal RNA", at positions 28 to 512 of the family's 1533-position model. The record is from RNAcentral.
GAUGAACGCUAGCUACAGGCUUAACACAUGCAAGUCGAGGGGCAGCAUGGUCUUAGCUUGCUAAGGCCGAUGGCGACCGGCGCACGGGUGAGUAACACGUAUCCAACCUGCCGUCUACUCUUGGACAGCCUUCUGAAAGGAAGAUUAAUACAAGAUGGCAUCAUGAGUCCGCAUGUUCACAUGAUUAAAGGUAUUCCGGUAGACGAUGGGGAUGCGUUCCAUUAGAUAGUAGGCGGGGUAACGGCCCACCUAGUCUUCGAUGGAUAGGGGUUCUGAGAGGAAGGUCCCCCACAUUGGAACUGAGACACGGUCCAAACUCCUACGGGAGGCAGCAGUGAGGAAUAUUGGUCAAUGGGCGAGAGCCUGAACCAGCCAAGUAGCGUGAAGGAUGACUGCCCUAUGGGUUGUAAACUUCUUUUAUAAAGGAAUAAAGUCGGGUAUGGAUACCCGUUUGCAUGUACUUUAUGAAUAAGGAUCGGCUAACUCCGUGCCAGC